GAUGAACGUUGGCGGCGUGCCUAAUACAUGCAAGUCGAACGAAGACUGUAGUAAUACUGUCUUAGUGGCGAACGGGUGAGUAACGCGUGGGUGACCUGCCCCGAAGUGUGGGGAUAACAGUUCGAAAGAACUGCUAAUACCGCAUAACAUCCAAGAGAUUAGAAGCUUUUGGAUUAAAGGAGUAAUUCGCUUCGGGAGGGGCCCGCGUCCCAUCAGCUAGUUGGUAAGGUAAUGGCUUACCAAGGCGAUGACGGGUAGGGGACCUGAGAGGGUGGCCCCCCAAAUGGAACUGAAACACGGUCCAUACACCUACGGGUGGCAGCAGUAGGGAAUAUUAGUAAUGGGCGAAAGCCUGAACUAGCAACGCCGCGUGAGUGAAGAAGGGCCUUCGGGUUGUAAAGCUCUUUUCGGCCGGGAAGAAAUCGUAAUGGGCUAAUACCCUGUGCGGAUGACGGUACCGGCAUAAGAAGCACCGGCUAACUACGUG
RNAcentral lists this ribosomal RNA (487 nucleotides) under uncultured bacterium. RNAcentral describes it as "bacterial SSU rRNA". It matches the Rfam family "Bacterial small subunit ribosomal RNA", at positions 28 to 507 of the family's 1533-position model. The record is from RNAcentral.